This 301-nucleotide ribosomal RNA is filed under the name uncultured bacterium. Its description in RNAcentral is "partial 16S ribosomal RNA". It matches the Rfam family "Bacterial small subunit ribosomal RNA", at positions 509 to 809 of the family's 1533-position model. The record is from RNAcentral.
CAGCCGCCGCGGUAAUACAGAGGGUGCGAGCGUUAAUCGGAUUUACUGGGCGUAAAGCGUGCGUAGGCGGCUUCUUAAGUCGGAUGUGAAAUCCCUGAGCUUAACUUAGGAAUUGCAUUCGAUACUGGGAAGCUAGAGUAUGGGAGAGGAUGGUAGAAUUCCAGGUGUAGCGGUGAAAUGCGUAGAGAUCUGGAGGAAUACCAAUGGCGAAGGCAGCCAUCUGGCCUAAUACUGACGCUGAGGUACGAAAGCAUGGGGAGCAAACAGGAUUAGAUACCCCCGUAGUCCCUGUCUCUUAUAA